GACAGAGGAUGCAAGCGUUGUUCGGAAUCAUUGGGCUUAAAGCGCGUGUAGGCGGCCACGUAAGUGUCUUGUGAAAUCCCACGGCUUAACCGUGGAAUGGCUGGGCAAACUGCGUGGCUUGAGGCCGGUAGAGGCGCCUGGAACUCUAGGUGGAGCGGUGAAAUGCGUAGAUAUCUAGAGGAACGCCCGGGGCGAAAGCGGGGCGCUGGGCCGGUUCUGACGCUGAGACGCGAAAGCGUGGGGAGCAAACAGG
RNAcentral lists this ribosomal RNA (253 nucleotides) under uncultured bacterium. RNAcentral's name for it is "partial 16S ribosomal RNA". It matches the Rfam family "Bacterial small subunit ribosomal RNA", at positions 524 to 776 of the family's 1533-position model. The record is from RNAcentral.